This is a long non-coding RNA of Xenopus tropicalis (tropical clawed frog), 727 nucleotides long. RefSeq lists it as uncharacterized. The record is from RefSeq and is a predicted model, not a curated record. The transcript has 2 exons. NCBI's taxonomy places the organism in Eukaryota, Metazoa, Chordata, Amphibia, Anura, Pipidae.
GCCUGCACCUGAGUCCAGUCAGCAAAUUUUUGGUUUCCUGAACGCACAUGGAUGCAGACAGAUAGGAUGUGGCAACCCGGGGAAUCCAAAGCCAGGAGAAGAGCCGCAUUCAUGGCGGAGGAAAAGCAACAAAUGAGCGCACUCAGCGUCAAACAGGAAACCAGUUGCACGAGGGGCACAGGGUUACCCAUAAACAUGCCGGCAAAGGGCCUACAGGUGCCAUGAUAAAGUGCUUUACAAGCAAAGACUCAUUAGUGGCUUUCCUGUUCCUGUCUGAUAGCUCUGGGAUCUGCUCGCUUGUGAUCAUUUUCUGGGCCCUUGUUAUUCAGCAGGCCUCAGGCGUUUCUCUGUCUUGUGAUAGACCGAGUAUCCUCUCCGCAGAAAGCCCAAGGGUCCGAGGAGCUGACAGGACAAUCGGGCAGGUGUCAGCUGGAUGUUAGAUGUGUUUUCUCCAACCGGUGGGGAACGGGAGGUGAAAGAGACAAAUUGAACCCUGGAGAAGCCGCCAGUACAACAAUAUAAGCUGCUUCUUCCAUCAGUCUCGUGUCCUUGCACAAAAGCACCGACCCUCCAGUUGCCGGAGACGGAAUACAGAGCCUUGAGCCAUCCAGCAAACAGAAGGUCGUCCCUCCGACAGAUCUGAGCCCAUCCGUAUAUUGUCGGUUCCCCCGUCCCUUUCUACCUCUACAUUUAAUCAGCCAAUUAAAAUGUUCCUUUUGAUUUGGAA